This 449-nucleotide ribosomal RNA is filed under the name uncultured bacterium. RNAcentral describes it as "partial 16S ribosomal RNA". It matches the Rfam family "Bacterial small subunit ribosomal RNA", at positions 28 to 523 of the family's 1533-position model. The record is from RNAcentral.
GACGAACGCUGGCGGCAGGCUUAACACAUGCAAGUCGAACGCAUCCUUCGGGGUGAGUGGCAGACGGGUGAGUAACGCGUGGGAACGUGCCCUUCAGUUCGGGAUAACCCAGGGAAACUUGGGCUAAUACCGGAUACGUGCGAGAGCAGAAAGGUUUAUCGCUGAAGGAUCGGCCCGCGUCUGAUUAGCUAGUUGGUGGGGUAAUGGCCCACCAAGGCGACGAUCAGUAGCUGGUCUGGGAGGAUGAUCAGCCACAUUGGGACUGAGACACGGCCCAAACUCCUACGGGAGGCAGCAGUGGGGAAUAUUGGACAAUGGGCGCAAGCCUGAUCCAGCCAUGCCGCGUGAGUGAUGAAGGCCUUAGGGUUGUAAAGCUCUUUCGUCCGGGACGAUAAUGACGGUACCGGAAGAAGAAGCCCCGGCUAACUUCGUGCCAGCAGCCGCCGUAA